GACGAACGCUGGCGGCGUGCUUAACACAUGCAAGUCGAACGGAAAGGCCCUGCUUUUGUGGGGUGCUCGAGUGGCGAACGGGUGAGUAACACGUGAGUAACCUGCCCUUGACUUUGGGAUAACUUCAGGAAACUGGGGCUAAUACCGGAUAGGAGCUCCUGCUGCAUGGUGGGGGUUGGAAAGUUUCGGCGGUUGGGGAUGGACUCGCGGCUUAUCAGCUUGUUGGUGGGGUAGUGGCUUACCAAGGCUUUGACGGGUAGCCGGCCUGAGAGGGUGACCGGCCACAUUGGGACUGAGAUACAGCCCAGACUCCUACGGGAGGCAGCAGUGGGGAAUAUUGCACAAUGGGCGGAAGCCUGAUGCAGCAACGCCGCGUGCGGGAUGACGGCCUUCGGGUUGUAAACCGCUUUCGCCUGUGAGGAAGCGUGAGUGACGGUAAUGGGUAAAGAAGCACCGGCUAACUACGUG
This 468-nucleotide ribosomal RNA is filed under the name uncultured bacterium. Its description in RNAcentral is "partial 16S ribosomal RNA". It matches the Rfam family "Bacterial small subunit ribosomal RNA", at positions 28 to 507 of the family's 1533-position model. The record is from RNAcentral.